Molecule: signal recognition particle RNA, 99 nt
Filed under: Hyphomicrobiales bacterium
Lineage: Bacteria; Pseudomonadati; Pseudomonadota; Alphaproteobacteria; Hyphomicrobiales
Description: Rhizobiales bacterium signal recognition particle sRNA small type
Rfam family: Bacterial small signal recognition particle RNA
About the family: The signal recognition particle (SRP) is a universally conserved ribonucleoprotein involved in the co-translational targeting of proteins to membranes. Archaeal SRP consists of a 7S RNA and homologues of the eukaryotic SRP19 and SRP54 proteins. In most bacteria, the SRP consists of a 4.5S RNA and the Ffh protein (a homologue of the eukaryotic SRP54 protein).
Source: RNAcentral
GAGAGAUCGUCUGCGGACGAGCCCCUCGUCCAUUGGGUCAGAUCCGGAAGGAAGCAGCCCAGGCGGGAUUUGGCACGGGUCGCCGGUUGGUCUCUCACC